AAAUAAAAUAAAAUAUACCGAAAAGAUUGUAAUUAAAUGGUGGGGUGUGACUGUGUGAGCUUUGAGUAGAGCAAUAGAAAAAUAAUGGGGUCGAGAGGGCUGGCGACUGGCGAGCAACAUCAACAUUGUCAGCAGCGGAGAAAAACAAGGCUAAACGCAGAGAGAUACUGGAAAAGAAGAAGGCAAUUGAUGAAUUGAUAAAAGAAGCUUCUUCUUAGAAGGACCAUCUUGUUUCUUUCGAGCCCUUUUGUCAUUACAAUAGAAAUGGUCAAUAUGGAGGGGCUGUUUGGCCCCAAGUGGUCUACAGAAGAACAGAUGAAGCGUAGGGACAUGAUGGCUUCAGAAGCAUGUUAUAGUUUUUUUUCACGAGGCUCCAAAUUCCAGUGUUGAUAAGAUGUCAAUAAAGUUAGAUAAGAGCCCCUUGGUUGGAUUUGUAAACUAUCGCUUUACUCUUGAGGAAGAGAUACCUGUUCUUUAUGUGUAUGAAAUACAGCUCGAGUCUCGUGUCCAAGGGAAGGGACUGGGGAAAUUAUUUAUGCAAUAAAUUGAGCUUGUUGCUCGCAAGGUGCUGAUGCUCUUUCUUGUCAGCCCUUUAAUGGUUGUGAAUAACUAAUUAGAUAUACAAAUACACACAUGUUUCUACGUUUUCUUAUUAAACAGCAUACAAUUAUAUAACCCAUCUUUCUCUUCCUCUCUGUAAAUCUCAACUCUCUUCACUUUGUACUUCAGAAUUAACUAUUCUAGGUUCAUGUUGUGCUUCAUCAUAAUUGAUAUUUAAUUUAGUCAUUUCAUCUUCUCUAGAAUCACAUGAGUGCUGUAGUCCUAACAGUUAAAAAAGCUAAUGCAGUAGCUAUGAAUUUCUACAAAAGUUAGCCGAGGUAUGUCUUUUACUCGACAAUACUGCUAUCCUAGUGAUCUCUUAAAUUUGUGACAUUUAGCUCUGAGAUUCUUGGUUGAGUGGCACUCAUUUACUAGAUAAAAUGCAAUAGUAAUGAGUAUUAUUAGAUGCUGAUGGCAAUUCGCAACCAGAAGAAACCUCUUUCCUUCCCAGGCUGCUAACUAUUUUCCCACCAAUUCAUAAUAUUUCUUUACCAUUUUUGCCUGAAUUGUUUUUUUAAUCCAUCAGUCACUUUCAAGCAUUUCACCACUGAGAGUUGAUCCCUUGAUGGGACUUGAGAAAAGUUACGUGAUUCUCUGCAAAGCGUUUGACCAUGAAGCCAAAGCUAUUUUGGAGGUACGAACUAUCACAUUCUUUUCUGUGAAUAAUAAUGUUGUAACCCUAAACUCUGUGCCAUUGUGCUUGUGUGAGAAUUCAGGAUAGAAAAGGAAGCUUUCUUCCAGGUAUUGUUAUGGAUACUUCUUGCAAGUUGCAUAUUUUGAUAUGCUUAUGUUUUUACAUGACAACCCUUUGUAAAUAAACAUACAGGUGAUUGAAAAUUUCAGUAAUAUAUUCCUAGUAUUGUGCAGUUAAAUGUUAGUGUUAAAGAGUAAAAAACUGCAUUGCAAUUAAGGUAUUGUUUCUGGAAUCCAGUCUUCAACAAAUCAACCAAUGCAUUUUCAUAGGUUAAGAGGUUUCAUUGCUGCCAACAGUGUUUCUCUGUUCAUUCUGGAAAUAUUUUUCUGUUGACUUGUACUUGUGGAUUGCAAAUCUUUUAAUUUCUUCUUGGUAUUGCUUUUCCAUCUACUAAAUACCGUGUCUGGAAAGCUUCUUGCAUUACCUUCUAAUGAGAAGACUUACGUAAAUAAAUAUUCCAAAGAUGAGGAUGAGCACAUGAAUUCUGUCAUAGGGUAGAAGCUUUUUUGCUUCCUGUGGGCUUCUUGCUUAUUUUCUUAGGUGACUCUAAGAGCAGCAUAGUAUGGCACGUGCUAUGUAUUUUAGUUCCAUCAUAUUCGUUUUCUGAAAAUUGUGUUCAUAAAUAUUUUGAAAUUUGUUGCUAUUUGGUGGUGUUUACAGCUUCCCUUUGAUUUUUUGUGUAAAAGAGCAUGUAAUGACCAAGAGUUAUACUAGCAAGCUAGUUCAUUGAGCUUAUGAAGUCCUGGUAUGGAAUUUUUAUUAAGUUUAUGUGCUUGUCAUUUUGAUUUCCUCAAGAUGGACAUGAACAUUUGAUUAAGGAAACAUUACAUCUACUUUUUUCAGUAGUGGAACUUUCAUCAGUAAAUAUGAUGGAAUAUAUUGUUGAUUGGAUGCAAAAGUCUCCAUCAUUUCGUAUUUUUUUGGUGUAGUUUAACAGGGGGGGAAUUUAAGCUUUUGAGGUCACUCACACAAAUUCUUUCAACAUAUAUUGUAAUUGAAUAAUCUUUUCACUCCAUUAUAAAGAAAAUUUAUUUUGAUUUUCCUAUGCAGGGAAGUGGAUGAGUAGGAUAGAGAUGACUAUUGAACAUAUUUUUUAUGUAUUUUUCUGAAUCAAACCUUUUUUUUCUGCAUGUACUUUCUCUUUUCCUAUUCUUAAAUACAAAAUAGAAUAAACUAAUGAUAUAGAAUCAUUAUAAUUGAUUCUAUGCAUGAACCAUCUGAUUAGUGAUGCUCUUCACCAUCGUUCACAAUUGAACUUUUUUUCUUUUGCUUUUUCUCAAAGAUGAGGGCUUAGUACUAUGGUAGUUGAUACUUUGCGAAACUGCAUCGUGUUUUAAUGUUUCACUAAAUUCCAUUAAAAACUAUCUGCGUGAUGCAAUGUGGUGUUUGUACGAUUGAAAUUAAAUCUAGGAUUGGAAUUUGAGUAUUGACAGAUACUGUUGGCUUCUAAAUGAAGUACAGUGUAGGGUCUUAGUUAUAAAGAGUGCUGGGGUAAUAAGUGGAAUGUGGAUAAUUGUGUGAAAAGCGGUCACUAAUAAGUCAUUGAGCUUUUCUCUAUCUGUUGUUGUUUCUUGGUAGUAUUUUUUUUCUUGGGGAGGGGGAUCUUGCGCUGAUUCAUGGAGAAGACUAGGUUAUCUUACAUUUCUUUAAUUCAGCAAGAACUUGCUUGAAUGAGAGAAAUUCAUGCUCAAAGAAAACUUUGUUUUUCUAGGAACUACACACUUGCCAAUUUUAACAAAUAGUUCACUAAAUACAAAAAAGAAAAAAAAGAAAAGAAAA
Populus trichocarpa (black cottonwood) is the source of this 3073-nucleotide long non-coding RNA. RefSeq lists it as uncharacterized. The transcript is spliced from 4 exons. Lineage: Eukaryota; Viridiplantae; Streptophyta; Magnoliopsida; Malpighiales; Salicaceae. The record is from RefSeq and is a predicted model, not a curated record.